This 328-nucleotide ribosomal RNA is filed under the name Eudmeta marginata. RNAcentral's name for it is "partial 12S ribosomal RNA". Lineage: Eukaryota; Metazoa; Arthropoda; Insecta; Diptera; Stratiomyidae. The record is from RNAcentral.
GAGUAGUAAUAGUUAUGUUCUUGAAACUUAAAAAAUUUGGCGGUACUUUAAUCUAUUCAGAGGAAUCUGUUCUGUAAUCGAUAUUCCACGAGAACUUUACUUUAGUUUGUAUUCAAUUUGUAUACCGCCGUUAUAGAUUAUCUUUUAAGAGUAAUAAUUUUCUUUAAUUUUUAAAAAUAUAUCAGGUCAAGGUGCAGUUUAUGUUAAAGGAGGAAAUGGAUUACAAUAAAUUUAUUUAUAUGAAUGGAAGAUUGAAAAAUUUUUUUGAAGGUGGAUUUGAUAGUAAAUUUAUGUAUUUUGUUAAUUUGAUUUUAGUUCUAAAGUAUGC